This 253-nucleotide ribosomal RNA is filed under the name uncultured bacterium. RNAcentral's name for it is "partial 16S ribosomal RNA". It matches the Rfam family "Bacterial small subunit ribosomal RNA", at positions 524 to 776 of the family's 1533-position model. The record is from RNAcentral.
UACGUAGGGGGCGAGCGUUGUCCGGAAUUAUUGGGCGUAAAGAGCGUGUAGGCGGUUCGGUAAGUCUGCCGUGAAAACCCAGGGCUCAACCCUGGGCGUGCGGUGGAUACUGCCGGGCUAGAGUCCGGAAGAGGCGAGUGGAAUUCCUGGUGUAGCGGUGGAAUGCGCAGAUAUCAGGAGGAACACCGAUAGCGAAGGCAGCUCGCUGGGACGGUACUGACGCUGAGGCGCGAAAGCGUGGGGAGCGAACAGG